CACGUGGUUGUACUUGAUCACCACAUGCGCAAUUUUGUUGAUAUUCAUGACUCCCUUGACUGUCCUCCUAGGGUUUUGCUGUGCUCCUUGCGUGAUGGAAGUGUAAUUAUGCCUCUGUAUGAACAGCCAUUAGCCAUUCAAUUUAAACGGCUUGAACUUGACCCUCCAGAGAUAGUUGAGGUUCAUGCAAAUGAUGGGAC
RNAcentral lists this unclassified non-coding RNA (200 nucleotides) under Hevea brasiliensis (rubber tree). Lineage: Eukaryota; Viridiplantae; Streptophyta; Magnoliopsida; Malpighiales; Euphorbiaceae. The record is from RNAcentral.